UGAGGAAUAUUGCGCAAUGGGCGAAAGCCUGACGCAGCAACGCCGCGUGAGGGACGAAGGCCUUCGGGUCGUAAACCUCUUUUCUGGGGAAAGAGACAGGACGGUACCUCAGGAAUAAGUCUCGGCUAACUACGUGCCAGCAGCCGCGGUAAAACGUAGGAGGCGAGCGUUAUCCGGAUUUACCGGGCGUAAAGAGCACGCAGGCGGCUUCGUAAGUCGGAUGUGAA
This 227-nucleotide ribosomal RNA is filed under the name uncultured bacterium. RNAcentral's name for it is "partial 16S ribosomal RNA". It matches the Rfam family "Bacterial small subunit ribosomal RNA", at positions 355 to 598 of the family's 1533-position model. The record is from RNAcentral.